GGGAAUGUAGCUCAGUGGUAGAGCACUUGCCUGGCAUGUGUAAGGCCCUGGGUUUGAUCCCUAGCACCA
This 69-nucleotide transfer RNA is filed under the name Ictidomys tridecemlineatus (thirteen-lined ground squirrel). Its description in RNAcentral is "Spermophilus tridecemlineatus (thirteen-lined ground squirrel) tRNA". It matches the Rfam family "tRNA". Rfam says of the family: Transfer RNA (tRNA) molecules are approximately 80 nucleotides in length. Their secondary structure includes four short double-helical elements and three loops (D, anti-codon, and T loops). Lineage: Eukaryota; Metazoa; Chordata; Mammalia; Rodentia; Sciuridae. The record is from Rfam by way of RNAcentral.